Molecule: long non-coding RNA, 705 nt
Organism: Oncorhynchus nerka (sockeye salmon)
Lineage: Eukaryota; Metazoa; Chordata; Actinopteri; Salmoniformes; Salmonidae
Exons: 4
Source: RefSeq, a predicted model, not a curated record
AGAACAGAGAACAUCCUAUUCAGUGCUGUCUAAUUUGAGUUUAAUGAAGUCUGUUUCUUGUGAGGUUUUCUGUCCUCAGAUACAGAGAGCUGUGAAAGCCUGUCUACAGAUGAAGAGGUCCCAAUGAAGAGCAGUGGUUCUCAGUCCUGGUCCUCAAAGGGGUGCACAUUUUCGUAUUUGCCUUUAGCACUAAACAUCUGAUUCAAAUGAUCAAGUCAUCAUCAAGCUUCAAGCGCAUAAAGUACUCUGUAGCCACUUAGUGUGGACACCAGUUUUUAUCAGCUGUGUUGGUAAACCCCUCCCGUAUCUGAACUGGCAGACACAGAGGGCACAGCAUGAUCAUAGGUAUGAUUUGAUGUGAGAGAGGAAGCCAGUCCGUCAUCGCCUCCGCACCCGCUCUUAAGAUAACCUUUGGGCCAAAUGGGAGCCCAAGUCUGGUUAGGAGACACCGCUAGAGACACAAUGUAAUUGUGAUGAACUGAGAGAAUAUUAGUGAAGCACUUUAAUUCAUUAAUCAUAUGUUGUCUUCUCUGCUCCUCUUACCUCUUUCCCUUUCUGUCUUCUACACCUCUCUCCCCACCUCCUCUUUCUUCCUCUUUUAUUUCACUGUAUCACAAUUCCAGUGGGUCAGAAGUUUACAUACGCUAAGUUGACUGUGCCAUUAAACAGCUUGGAAAAUGUCAGAAAAUGAUGUCAUGGCUUUAG